This 403-nucleotide ribosomal RNA is filed under the name uncultured bacterium. Its description in RNAcentral is "bacterial SSU rRNA". It matches the Rfam family "Bacterial small subunit ribosomal RNA", at positions 29 to 481 of the family's 1533-position model. The record is from RNAcentral.
AACGAACGCUGGCGGCAGGCCUAACACAUGCAAGUCGAGCGCACCCUUCGGGGUGAGCGGCGGACGGGUUAGUAACGCGUGGGAACGUGCCCAGAUCUGCGGAAUAGCCACUGGAAACGGUGAGUAAUACCGCAUACGCCCUUCGGGGAAAGAUUUAUCGGAUUUGGAUCGGCCCGCGUUAGAUUAGGUAGUUGGUGGGGUAACGGCCUACCAAGCCUACGAUCUAUAGCUGGUUUUAGAGGAUGAUCAGCAACACUGGGACUGAGACACGGCCCAGACUCCUACGGGAGGCAGCAGUGGGAAUCUUGGACAAUGGGGGCAACCCUGAUCCAGCCAUGCCGCGUGAGUGAUGAAGGCCUUAGGGCGUAAAGCUCUUUGCCUGUGAAGAUAAUGACGGUAGCAG